UGGUUUUAGCUCAGUGGUUAGAGCACCCACUACCUACGUACGAAGUCAUGGGUUCGAGUCACCAUGAGGGCAG
RNAcentral lists this transfer RNA (73 nucleotides) under Rosa chinensis. RNAcentral's name for it is "tRNA RchiOBHm_Chr6g0257811". The record is from RNAcentral. Lineage: Eukaryota; Viridiplantae; Streptophyta; Magnoliopsida; Rosales; Rosaceae.